This 403-nucleotide ribosomal RNA is filed under the name uncultured bacterium. Its description in RNAcentral is "bacterial SSU rRNA". It matches the Rfam family "Bacterial small subunit ribosomal RNA", at positions 355 to 774 of the family's 1533-position model. The record is from RNAcentral.
UGGGGGAUAUUGCACAAUGGGGGAAACCCUGAUGCAGCGACGCCGCGUGGAGGAAGAAGGUUUUCGGAUUGUAAACUCCUGUCGUUAGGGACGAAUCAUGACGGUACCUAACAAGAAAGCACCGGCUAACUACGUGCCAGCAGCCGCGGUAAAACGUAGGGUGCAAGCGUUGUCCGGAAUUACUGGGUGUAAAGGGAGCGCAGGCGGACCGGCAAGUUGGAAGUGAAAUCUAUGGGCUCAACCCAUAAAUUGCUUUCAAAACUGCUGGCCUUGAGUAGUGCAGAGGUAGGUGGAAUUCCCGGUGUAGCGGUGGAAUGCGUAGAUAUCGGGAGGAACACCAGUGGCGAAGGCGACCUACUGGGCACCAACUGACGCUGAGGCUCGAAAGCAUGGGUAGCAAACA